Molecule: ribosomal RNA, 252 nt
Filed under: uncultured bacterium
Lineage: Bacteria
Description: partial 16S ribosomal RNA
Rfam family: Bacterial small subunit ribosomal RNA
Source: RNAcentral
UACGUAGGGGGCAAGCGUUGUCCGGAAUUAUUGGGCGUAAAGCGCGCGCAGGCGGUCAUUUAAGUUUGGUGUUUAAUUCCAGGGCUCAACCCUGGGUCGCACUGAAAACUGGGUGACUUGAGUACAGAAGAGGAGAGUGGAAUUCCACGUGUAGCGGUGAAAUGCGUAGAUAUCGGAAGGAACAUCAGUGGCGAAAGCGGCUUCCUGGACCAGAACUGACGAUCAGGCUCGAAAGCGUGGGGAGCAAACAGG